CCGGCACGGGCGAGUAACACGUAUGCAAUCCACCUGUAACAGGGGGAGUAACCCGGAGAAAUCCGGACUAAUACCCCAUAAUAUGGGCGCUCCGCAUGGAGAGCCCAUUAAAGAGAGCAAUUUUGGUUACAGACGAGCAUGCGCUCCAUUAGCCAGUUGGCGGGGUAACGGCCCACCAAAGCGACGAUGGAUAGGGGUUCUGAGAGGAAGGUCCCCCACAUUGGAACUGAGACACGGUCCAA
This 242-nucleotide ribosomal RNA is filed under the name uncultured bacterium. Its description in RNAcentral is "partial 16S ribosomal RNA". It matches the Rfam family "Bacterial small subunit ribosomal RNA", at positions 100 to 334 of the family's 1533-position model. The record is from RNAcentral.